RNAcentral lists this ribosomal RNA (375 nucleotides) under Thauera sp. RNAcentral's name for it is "bacterial SSU rRNA". It matches the Rfam family "Bacterial small subunit ribosomal RNA", at positions 1 to 375 of the family's 1533-position model. Lineage: Bacteria; Pseudomonadati; Pseudomonadota; Betaproteobacteria; Rhodocyclales; Zoogloeaceae. The record is from RNAcentral.
GAACUUAAGAGUUUGAUCCUGGCUCAGAUUGAACGCUGGCGGCAUGCUUUACACAUGCAAGUCGAACGGCAGCGGGGGCUUCGGCCUGCCGGCGAGUGGCGAACGGGUGAGUAAUGCAUCGGAACGUGCCCAUGUCGUGGGGGAUAACGUAGCGAAAGCUACGCUAAUACCGCAUACGCCCUGAGGGGGAAAGCGGGGGAUUCUUCGGAACCUCGCGCGAUUGGAGCGGCCGAUGUCGGAUUAGCUAGUAGGUGAGGUAAAGGCUCACCUAGGCGACGAUCCGUAGCGGGUCUGAGAGGAUGAUCCGCCACACUGGGACUGAGACACGGCCCAGACUCCUACGGGAGGCAGCAGUGGGGAAUUUUGGACAAUGGG